AUAGGGGGCGAGCGUUAUCCGGAAUUAUUGGGCGUAAAGCGUGCGUAGGCGGCCGUUUAAGUCUGUCGUGAAAGCCCACAGCUUAACUGUGGAGGGUCGAUGGAAACUGGAUGGCUUGAAUCUAGAAGAGGUAAGUGGAAUUCCAUGUGUAGCGGUAAAAUGCUUAGAUAUAUGGAGGAACACCAGUGGCGAAGGCGGCUUACUGGUCUAGCAUUGACGCUGAGGCACGAAAGCGUAGGUAGCAAACAGGAUUAGAUACCCUGGUAGUCUACGCUGUAAACGAUGAAUACUAGGUGUGGGAGGACUGACCCCUUCCGUGCCGCAGUUAACACAAUAAGUAUUCCACCUGGGGAGU
Molecule: ribosomal RNA, 355 nt
Filed under: uncultured bacterium
Lineage: Bacteria
Description: bacterial SSU rRNA
Rfam family: Bacterial small subunit ribosomal RNA
Source: RNAcentral